AAUUGUUUAACAAUUUCAGUCAGGUGUGUUGGAGCAGGGACACUUUAAAAACCUGCACGACUGCUGCCCUCAUAGGACCAAACUGUGUAGUCCUGGUCUACAUGAACCAGAUCAGUCCAGAACCAAAUACAUGUGAUCACUGCAGAUUCUAGUCUAGGUAGAUCUGGACUUUCUCUGAUGUCAUGCAGACCAGGAAACAAGUUCACCACAGAGCAGCUGCAGUUUCUAGACCAAAAGAAUCCAGCUGUUCUGGUUCAGUUCCACCUCUGGCUGACAGGACUCACCUGCUCUCUCCUGAUCCAACAGCUGAUUAACUCAGAUGGAGACUUCAUGUUUACAUGUUACUGAUGACAGAGCUUAAACUGACCAUCACACAUCAUAAAUGAGCAGAGAGAAAACAUCAGAGCUGCAGGUGUUCUGUAACAUGAUGAUCCAUGUUUCAGCUCCUGGAUGUGGUCUGAGAGGACGAGUCAGCAGCUGCUUAUUGGUCUGAUUCAUUUAUUAAAUGUAGGAACCAGGAUGAAGCUUGAACACACGGAUCAUAAUAAAGUGUCAUAAUUACAUGAACACAUGCUGGUUUCUGGCUGUGGUCGUUAAAU
Molecule: long non-coding RNA, 599 nt
Organism: Melanotaenia boesemani (Boeseman's rainbowfish)
Lineage: Eukaryota; Metazoa; Chordata; Actinopteri; Atheriniformes; Melanotaeniidae
Exons: 3
Source: RefSeq, a predicted model, not a curated record